Long non-coding RNA from Astyanax mexicanus (Mexican tetra), 1847 nucleotides. RefSeq lists it as uncharacterized. The transcript has 3 exons. Lineage: Eukaryota; Metazoa; Chordata; Actinopteri; Characiformes; Acestrorhamphidae. The record is from RefSeq and is a predicted model, not a curated record.
UGUCAGUUUUCGGAGAUAAGGUUGAACACCAUCAGGGAGGGAGAAUUAAUUGGGGAGAAAAGGACAAAGAAACAUUCCGAAACGUGUUAAAAACUGAAUUUAAUGAAGUAGUAGCAGUACUUACUUUAAUUAGACGGUCUCCUGUUUUUUUCCUGUCAGCAAUUACUCGGAAGCUCUUGAAGCAGAGCCGCAGGCUGAUGCAGCAGUGCAGUGAGGGGAGAUCGGCUGUAAGGUGAGAUCAUAUCCUGGGAAACAGCAAGGUCAAGCUGAGCUCAGGUGCCCUGGAGCAGAGGAGGGGAAGAGAUGGAUAGAUGGAGAGGCUGAGCAGAAAAAGAAGAUGUACUCGGCCCUGUUCCAGCUCAACCCAGCCCAGGCCCAAGCUGCAGAGGUGAAUAGAGCUGCAGUGGUGGAUGGCAGUGCAGAGGAUGAACAGAAUGAGAAGACACUGAACAGUGAGGAUCACACAUCUUAUCUUCUUUCUUACACAAAUACUGCUAAAAAAAACGUCAUUACCCUGAACGCAAUAUAUAUAUAUUGUUUUUUGCCCUGUUGUGUUUUAAAGUUAUUCCCUUAUAAUUAAGCUUUGUUAUGUUGAUUCUGACAAAAGUUUAAUAAAAAAAAGAAAACGGAAGUAUCAGUUGAUUUUAAGCACAAAUAGGCAGUGAGCAAUUUAGGCAAUCUAGCCAAUCAUGAGAGCUGGUCGGAUUAUAUGGUUCAUGUUUUGUGAGUUGCUGCAGUGCUACGUGAGAUCACAGACCUCUGCAGUUCGUUUAUUUGCAAGCUGUCAGUUUGGACAUCACUCAUAGAUAAAGAAGAACUAUGUUGCAAAAAUAAUUGGAGAAUUUGUAAAAGUAAUGCCUAAUGGAAGUAAGAGUUUGAACACCACUAACCAGAUACCUUUCUCGAGAGUACAUCACUCAGCUCAGUACCAUAGUAUCUGAACACAGCAAAACAAGCAAACACAACUAACGGCGCUCCUAAGCUCCACAGUGCAGUUCUGCAUGGUAAUUCACAGUCAAUUUGCUUGGAGUUUAAAUUAUUUUUGAUUUUAUAAAGUGUCAUCAUGAAAGACAAUGCACAGAAUGUUACGGAAGCCCUGCAUGAUGAAGCAUUACCAAUAUAGCCUGGAAAGUUGAAAGUGCACUGAUCCACAAUUGGAUCAGUCCACAGUAAUUGUUGUUCUAGUUCUGUUCUUGUUUUAUUUCUGUUCAGCCUGGGCAGCUCUGACUUCAGAUACCGAAAGCUACUAAGGAACAGCAAGACCCAAGGACCCAAGAGCAGGUUAAUGUCAAUCAAACUAAGAAGAUGCUGGUUGACUUUGGUCAGGAAGUCCAAACCACCCCGUCACAAGUCAGCUGAUUUGGUGGACAUAAAUCUCGUUGGAACUGCUAUAAGUACUUAAGGACCUGAGUUUUCACUUAAAUGGCAAACUGGAGCCAAGUUCUAACACCAAUGAGAAAAAUAUUAGCAUGGGAUAAAACACUGGUCGAUCUAUGUUUGUAUGCUGGGUCAGAGGUUUCAACAAUACUUUCAUUACACUGUAAACAUACUACAUAAUACUGGUCCUUCUCUCAGUAAAUCAAUGGGAUGGCAACUACCCUUUGAUAUUCAGUGCAGUACCAAUAGCUGCUGCCAUGCAAACUUUGGGCACCCCUAGUCAAAAAAUUCUGUCCAAAAGGCACAAUGGAAAAAAUGUAAUUUUUAGCAUUGAUUGAUUGAUUGCAUUUAGUUAUUAAUGCAAACCAGAGAAUUGAUCCUUAAAAAUUUAUUGAUUUAAAUGUGUGAUCAAAUCAUAUGACAUACAAUAAGAAACAAAAAUACCCUUGCAUAGAUCACAGAACAUGCCU